This 4802-nucleotide long non-coding RNA is filed under the name Felis catus (domestic cat). RNAcentral describes it as "lncRNA (ENSFCAG00000048065.1)". The record is from RNAcentral. Lineage: Eukaryota; Metazoa; Chordata; Mammalia; Carnivora; Felidae.
AUGGGAGGGCUAUCUGUGGUCUUGGAAGCAUACCGUGUUUUACUCAUAAAUGCCAGUUUUUUUUUUAUUUUUUUAACGUUUUUUGUUUAUUUAUUUUUGAGACAGAGCGAGAGACAGAGCACGGUGAUAGCCUGGGACGUGUCACAGAGUUACUCCUGGUGGCAGAGACAGAGCGCGGUGAUAGCCUGGGACGUGUCACAGAGUUACUCCUGGUGGCAGAGACAGAGCGCGGUGAUAGCCUGGGACGUGUCACAGAGUUACUCCUGGUGGCAGAGACAGAGCGCGGUGAUAGCCUGGGACGUGUCACAGAGUUACUCCUGGUGGCAGAGACAGAGCGCGGUGAUAGCCUGGGACGUGUCACAGAGUUACUCCUGGUGGCAGAGACAGAGCGCGGUGAUAGCCUGGGACGUGUCACAGAGUUACUCCUGGUGGCAGAGACAGAGCGCGGUGAUAGCCUGGGACGUGUCACAGAGUUACUCCUGGUGGCAGAGACAGAGCGCGGUGAUAGCCUGGGACGUGUCACAGAGUUACUCCUGGUGGCAGAGACAGAGCGCGGUGAUAGCCUGGGACGUGUCACAGAGUUACUCCUGGUGGCAGAGACAGAGCGCGGUGAUAGCCUGGGACGUGUCACAGAGUUACUCCUGGUGGCAGAGACAGAGCGCGGUGAUAGCCUGGGACACGUCACAGAGUUACUCCUGGUGGCAGAGACAGAGCGUGGUGAUAGCCUGGGACGUGUCACAGAGUUACUCCUGGUGGCAGAGACAGAUCGCGGUGAUAGCCUGGGACACGUCACAGAGUUACUCCUGGUGGCAGAGACAGAGCGCGGUGAUAGCCUGGGACGUGUCACAGAGUUACUCCUGGUGGCAGAGACAGAGCGCGGUGAUAGCCUGGGACGUGUCACAGAGUUACUCCUGGUGGCAGAGGGAGAGUAUGCAGUGUGCUUUUUUCAAGCUUCAGCUGUGGGCAGUCGGCAUGAUAGGCGAAAAAGAUGGGACGUUCUUUAUCAUACACAUCACACAGGAAGAGAUUGGUAGCAGACCGGAGUUGACCAAAGCCUGUGCAUUCCACAGAAAGUACUGUUGUCAGGAGUGGCCCUUGGGAAAUCGCCUUUGAGCUGUUGGGAUGCUCUGCCUGACACGGGUGUUUCUGUAUGCCUCCGUCUUUGGGCCACCCCCUACCUCUAGGACCAGAUGAGAUUGUCCUGGCAAUGUGACUUCUAGUGGAUGCCUGUGUUUGCUGUCAGGGGCUGGGGUGUGAGCAACAGGUCAGGCAGGCAGGCACUGUGUGCCUAGGAGUUUCAUAAACCAUGAUAUACAUUUUCAAAAAAUAAUUUUAAUGUUUAUUUUUUUUAAAAUGAGAGAGACACAGCGUGAGCAUGGGGGGGGGGUUGGUGCAGAGGAGAAGGAGACACAGAAUCUGAAGCAGGCUCCGGGCUCUGAGCUGUCAGCACAGAGCCUGACGUGGGGCUUGAACCCACGAACAUGAGAUCACAACCUGAGCCAAAGUCAGACACUUAGCUGACUGAGCCAUCCAGGCACUCCAGUGAUGGUAUACAUUUUAAGGAAAGGCAUGAGACCUUUUGGUCUGCAGAUGAGUCAGGCAAGAUAAAUUAGGCAGUACUGUGAAAAUGAGCAACCCCCUGUUUAGGGGCCUAAUGUAAGGAAGGUUUUAUUUCUCAGCAUGUCCAUCCUGGGCUACCUGGGAGCUCUGCCCCGUGUCCUCCUUACAUCAAGACCCAGGAUGAUGUCAUAACCAUCACCUGAGGCAGUCCAAACUGUGUCAAAGCAAGAGAAAAUAGGGAUGUGUGUUUAUGUCUAUAUUUCCAUAGUUUAGAUGCGCUUUAGGUGUUUAGAUGUUCUUUUUUUUUUUUUUGUUUUUUUUUUUUUAUUUUGAGAGAUGACAGACAGACAGACAGGGAGAGAGAGAAUCCCAAACAGGGCCCUCGCUGUCAGUGCAGAGCCUGACGAGGUGCUCCAACUCAUGAACCAUGAGGUCAUGACCUGAGCUGGAAUCAAGAGUCAGAUGCUCAACCGACUGAGCCCCCCAGGCACCCGUAGACGAACUGGUUCUUAAAGCUUCCCUUUGGUAGUGACAGAGACCCUCCUGCUCACAUUGUCAUUGGCCAGGGGUUGCAUGGCCAUGUCAGAAUUCAAGGGCACAGUGGAGGUCCGGCCCUGCCAUGUGCCCAGAAGAAGAACUGGAAUAUUUGUAAAUAAUCCAAACAACCACCACAGAAAUCAGGUACACAUGAUGGUGUACAUGUAUGUUAAAAAGAUGUCUUUUUGAGGAGUUUGUGACUUGGAGAAUUCUUUUCCGAGUUAUUAACAUCCUCUCAUUUUAUGGAAGAAUUAUGUAGAAUUUAUCUAAAAGAGAGUAUGAUACACACAGAGUAUAAUCAGCUUUUUUUUUUUUUUUUUUUGACAAGGCUGCGUCUGUUCUGUGUCCUGACAAGUGGAUCUGUCCAAUGUAGAUGCCAUUACCUCGUUACAGUUGCCCGUUCGGUUAAUCUGGCCUUGCCAAUGGUGCUAAUUCUUGAAGGAAUUCUUCAGUUUGGGACGUUAAAGACCACGGAGGAUUAACUGAGAAUCAUGGAUCACAGAGUCUGUAAUGAGACCCACACGUAGCGCCCCGAGCCAGCCUGACAGAGGACUGAAACCGUAGCAAAAGUGCACACUAGCCUGAUGUAAAACCUCAGAUCUUAUCAGUUCUAGUUGCAAAUACGUGACCUCUCAUAACGGCAUACGUUUCGGGAGUUCGAUGUGUAGCUUUUCUCUGGGCAUGAUGGCAUUACCUGUUCUGUCUGAAAUUGACGCUGUUUAUUGGGAAACAAAAGCUUUUCAUCCAGGGCUGUGGUUCUCCGAUUUGGUUGAAUGUUAGAAGAUCCCAAGGGGUUUAGUAAGCUUGAGCGGAAGCUCAGGAAGUCCCGGAGGAGGGUUUAGAUGGAGCCUGGCAUGUGUGUCGUGUGGCGUGUGCAUAUGCUGUGCAGGGCGUCUCCUAAGUGCGUCAGAUACUCUCGGACGCACGCUAGCUAAGCACCUACCACAGUGCCUGCGGUUGUUGAAAGCGCUCACUAGUGGCAGCUGAUGUUACUUUUUUGCCUUGCCCGUCAGUGCCAGGGUUGUUCCUGGGUGUCUCCAUGGAGCGGCGCAGAGAACAAAAGGCUUCGUUCCUUUUGGAUUCGCGCUUUGCCAUUUGAGCUGGCCGUAAAGGGACACCUGUCAGGCGUUCCCUGGGACAGACGACCCCACCACGUACUCUUACGUUCCUGGCUGCGGUCCAGUCCCACAGACUCUCCCUCCCAGAGACGUUUUAGAGGAUAAAUGCGACAAAACGUCAAGAAGAGUUUCUCUCACAGACAAGCUCAGCAUUGGAUUUGGGUAACGGUUGCCACUAUCCCGAACUCCCUUAGGCUGGCUAACUUAGGGCGUUGAAGAGAAAAUAAUUAUAGACCUUUCAGCAAUUAUUUCCAGAAAUUUGUCUGUAUUGUAGACAAAUACAGACGGGGUUGAUAGACGCUCUCCAUUAUAGAGACGGAAGAAAGGAAGACGGUGAGGGACGGAAACUUCUAGCAGCCUCCAUUAAAUCCACUCAUUUCUUCCUCACUAACAGAUGUAAGAGGAUACUGGCUUAUCCCUCCUCUGAUACAUGUCUACCCAGUGGGUAAUCUCUGAGAAAGCCUUCUCAGAAAGCUUUUUAGAGGAGGAUACUUUUGUGGAAUAGGAAUAGAUCCUUUUUUAUACUUCUGCCUCAAGUUCUUCUCUCUUGGAAUAAUGGCUGGGGCUCUAGCAGCCACCUUGGACCAUGAGUCAUAUUUAAGGAGAGGAUCCACGUGGCUUUGGAGGGUACAGCAGAAAGAGAGAAUGACACUCGGUUUCUGGUGUGUUACACUUGUCAAACCUGCAUCGCACUGCCUGUGUCUGGAAAAACAUUACAUUUCGAUCUUGCUUAAUUUUUCAUUGGUUUCCUUCUUUUUACACUCUGUCCUGUGUAACUCUUGUGGGGCACGAAACUGUUGGAAAAAGAGAAAAUCAAUUUAAGAAGGAUACAAAAAGCUAGAGAAUGAGAGAGGUAGUUGGAGAAAGAUGCUGAGGUCUCGACAGAUGGUAGAGAAGUGGAGAAAGAAGAAAGUGGGGAUUGGGGGUGCCUGGGUGGCUCAGCCAAUGAAGCAUCCCACUCUUGGUUUUGGCUCAGGUCAAGAUGUCACAGUCGAGCCCCAUGGGGUCGAGCCCCAUGGCAUCUAGCCCUGCAAGGGGCUGGGCGUGGAGCUCUCUGUCUCUCUCUCUUUCAAAAAAAAAAAAAAUGAAUCCAGAUAAAGGGAGGCAUGGGGGCGGGUGCUGGGGGAAAGACGAGAAGACAAGAGAAGUGGGUGUGAAAUGAGAAAAGAGAGGCAGACUCACCUGGUGCCCACAGACAGUGCAUUACAGGAGCCGCUGUAACUCUGGUUAGGGCUUGUUCGAUGGGGGUGUCUGGCCCCCAGAACCAAGGUGCACUGUCUGCAUGACUGUUUCACGUAAUUCUUCGCUUUCUUCAUGUGCCUUCAGUCUUCUCUGUAGCAGCCUGGGUGCCAUCUUUAAGGAGCAGUACCGCACGUCACGUUUUAACCUUUGCUUUCCUCCCAUGGGUGGAACCUGGUGGAGUGAUGAGCACAUAAUUGAAGUUCAUCCAGUAUUUCACGGAAAGAAGUUGCAGCGAUUUUAUUUUACAUGUACUGCAUUACGUCAUAUGAUAUAUUUUAUUUAAUACAAGUAUUACAUACAGGAAAUAGGGGUAGUGAAUAAACAAUUUCAGAGAGGCGUAAAGCA